AAUUCAACAAUAAAGCUAUGUGUUUCUCUGGAAAAGAGAACAUAAUGAAGAGCUGUGAGAAGCAGCUUGAAGAAUGUGUGUCAAAAGGCACUUAUUGUAAGCAUAUUCAGAGAGUUUCGACAAACAAGGCUACUGACCUCCUGUUGCUAUGAGCUUCUCAACACGAGAUACGAUAUGUUUGCCAUAAGUGUAUUUCUUGAGAGCAUUAAGGUGUACUCUAAUGCGAGAAAGAAUUAAUUCACGGCUUUGCUCAUCACAGGUCUCAAGAACCUUCUGCACAACAUAGUUUCCAAAUGGAUCCUUCAUCAUAGCCUACAUUCUGUUGGGAAUAAACCCCUUACCAAAAUAAUAUUCACGGUAAUAAAGCGGAAUAAUAAUGUAGCACCGAGAUACGGUAAUUAACAAGAAUAAAAGAGUAACAAUGACACCAAAAUUUUUACGUGGAAAACCCUUCUGAAUAAGGGAAAAAACCACGACCCCGAGAGGAGCAACUGAUAUCACUAUAGUAAGGAAUUUUACACUUUGUAGGUCGGAGGUAAAUACUCCAAAGACCACUACAACACUCAAAAGAAAUAACCCUCUUUUGAUAUUCCCACCUCACUACAAUAUCGCUCACUCUCUAUUUUCCUCACAGACUAUUUUCUUAUACCUUGUCUGUGAAACCUCACUCUUUCUUUCUCUCUUUGUUGGUGUGUAGAAAUGAGAGUUGAAGCUCUCCUUUUAUAGCCAAAGCUUCACCCUCUAAAGCCUACAAUAUUUGACAAUUUACACACACUUUUCACAAUUCAACAAAGUUGGCUACCAAACCAAAGAAAUUCAACAAGGUUGGCUACCAAACCAAACUAAUUCAACAAGGUUGGCUACCAACCAAACCAAGUCAACAAGGUUGGCUACCAAACCAAAGAAAACUCUUAUUAGGCACAUGCCUAAUACUUCUUCAAUGAGAUGGACAUCA
This 955-nucleotide long non-coding RNA is filed under the name Nicotiana tabacum (common tobacco). RNAcentral's name for it is "long non-coding RNA (NTAB_LNC004187)". Lineage: Eukaryota; Viridiplantae; Streptophyta; Magnoliopsida; Solanales; Solanaceae. The record is from RNAcentral.